This is a long non-coding RNA of Homalodisca vitripennis (glassy-winged sharpshooter), 1036 nucleotides long. RefSeq lists it as uncharacterized. The record is from RefSeq and is a predicted model, not a curated record. The transcript has 3 exons. NCBI's taxonomy places the organism in Eukaryota, Metazoa, Arthropoda, Insecta, Hemiptera, Cicadellidae.
UAUAUGUAACUGAAAAGUAUUAAAAGCAUGUUUAUGUAUAGUUGAUACGCGCUUUUUGCAAGGAAUUAUGUACAGGGUAUCCAUUUUACUUUGCUAAUUAUAUGUCAUUUAUUGCAAUAAAAUUUAAUUUCUUGAUGUGUGCUAAACCUAUCUAUCAACCUCAAACCGCAUUCAAUUUCGAAGAUCGAGUAAUUACCACGAAUUUAUGACUUGCACAAUAUAUGACCACAAUUUAUCAAAUCUCAGACGUUCACUUUUAUCAUGCAGUGCAGAAUGAUAAAUUAUCUUCAGUCUGCUAAGAGUGAAACUGCAAGAGUCACUACAGAGUACGAGUAUGUUGGAAGGAGUUUCUUAGACCAUGGCCAAAAUAUAUAAGUUGCACACGCUGACACUUCUAAUUGACGUUUUUCGUCUCCGCAUUAACCCGUGAAGAAAGACAUUCACCAUCUAAGUUUCGAAGAGGAAGAACAAGAAGACACUGUGUACGGGGAAGGUCUUCAAAAGUACCACUCCACUGACUUCCAUGAUGACUCCACAUUCCACAUUGACUUGGUAGAAGAGUUUAAGCGAUACCAUCGUCUGGGACCGUAGGCGGAGAUCCUUGGAGGCUACAGAGAAGAUCAGUACCACCACUCUUGCUGGAGAAGACUUGGUUUACGAGCAAGCUGGACGAAGGAAAGGAAGAUGAGACGACAACAUCAAUGCCUGAGGAUGAAGGGAAAAUGGGCUAAAGAAGAAUGCCGCAAGAAGAGGUGGAAAAUGUUAACAGAUGUUAUCAGUUACAACAGACAUUGGUUUAUCGGUACGGUUUGCAAUAAAUACUGUUGUUUUUUACCAAUUUUUGCGACCAGAAAUCCCUUACUUGUAAGUAAGAUCUCUAAACAAGUAUUUCCUACUAUAUUGUUUUGUAUUUUGCGUGUUUUUGUACUAUGAAUAAAACUUAUAUUUUUACUAUGAGUCUUUAAACUAGUAAUUUAUUUUGUAAUUAUUAGUGUUUGUAUAUACAAUCUAUUCAAAGUCUGUCUAAUUAUAAUAA